Long non-coding RNA from Eriocheir sinensis (Chinese mitten crab), 286 nucleotides. RefSeq lists it as uncharacterized. The transcript has 3 exons. The record is from RefSeq and is a predicted model, not a curated record. NCBI's taxonomy places the organism in Eukaryota, Metazoa, Arthropoda, Malacostraca, Decapoda, Varunidae.
GGGUACUUGAAUUCCUCGCCUGGCUCCCCUUCCACGCCUUCGUCACACACGUAGAACGAGCCACAGUCUUUGGGGUCCGGCACCAUGGUGAAGUCGGAGCCGUCGCAGUACGGAUCACAGUAAGGGGAGCAGCAGACACUUUCGUCGUGGGUGCAGCUGCUGCCGUCGAAGUAGGGGAAAUCAGCAGAGCAUUCCGCCAACACGGGACCGCCGGGGGUGCAGAAGUAGUAGGUGGAGCAGUCGAAGAGGUUGGCGACCACCGUCGUGGUAGCGUUGCAGGUUAUGG